GGUACCCCUAGAGGGGUUGUAGGUGUGGCUGCUGUGUCAUGUGUGAGUCAGCAGGUGGCAGGGAGGCUCUGUCUAUGCUCACUGUUCUGACCUACAAAAAUCUGAGGGAUGACUAGCCUCACAUU
This 125-nucleotide small nucleolar RNA is filed under the name Meriones unguiculatus (Mongolian gerbil). RNAcentral describes it as "Small nucleolar RNA SNORA17 (ENSMUGG00000001412.1)". It matches the Rfam family "Small nucleolar RNA SNORA17". Rfam says of the family: snoRNA ACA 17 belongs to the H/ACA family of snoRNAs and is predicted to guide pseudouridylation of the 28S rRNA at positions U4659 and U4598. It shares the same host gene together with ACA43. Lineage: Eukaryota; Metazoa; Chordata; Mammalia; Rodentia; Muridae. The record is from RNAcentral.